This 257-nucleotide ribosomal RNA is filed under the name uncultured bacterium. Its description in RNAcentral is "partial 16S ribosomal RNA". It matches the Rfam family "Bacterial small subunit ribosomal RNA", at positions 98 to 354 of the family's 1533-position model. The record is from RNAcentral.
CGGGACGGGUGAGUAACGCGUGGGUAACCUGCCUCAUACAGGGGGAUAACAGUUAGAAAUGACUGCUAAUACCGCCAUAAGCGCACAAAACCGCAUGGUUUGGUGUGAAAAACUGAGGUGGUAUGAGAUGGACCCGCGUCUGAUUAGCUAGUUGGAGAGGUAACGGCUCACCAAGGCAACGAUCAGUAGCCGACCUGAGAGGGUGACCGGCCACAUUGGGACUGAGACACGGCCCAAACUCCUACGGGAGGCAGCAG